UGGGGAAUAUUGGACAAUGGGCGCAAGCCUGAUCCAGCAAUGCCGCGUGAGUGAAGAAGGCCUUAGGGUUGUAAAGCUCUUUCACCCGCGAAGAUAAUGACGGAACCACAGAU
RNAcentral lists this ribosomal RNA (113 nucleotides) under uncultured bacterium. Its description in RNAcentral is "partial 16S ribosomal RNA". It matches the Rfam family "Bacterial small subunit ribosomal RNA", at positions 355 to 467 of the family's 1533-position model. The record is from RNAcentral.